This 497-nucleotide ribosomal RNA is filed under the name uncultured bacterium. RNAcentral's name for it is "partial 16S ribosomal RNA". It matches the Rfam family "Bacterial small subunit ribosomal RNA", at positions 28 to 507 of the family's 1533-position model. The record is from RNAcentral.
GAUGAACGCUGGCGGCGUGCCUAAUACAUGCAAGUCGAGCGAACAGAUGAGGAGCUUGCUCCUCUGACGUUAGCGGCGGACGGGUGAGUAACACGUGGAUAACCUACCUAUAAGACUGGGAUAACUUCGGGAAACCGGAGCUAAUACCGGAUAAUAUAUUGAACCGCAUGGUUCAAUAGUGAAAGACGGUUUUGCUGUCACUUAUAGAUGGAUCCGCGCCGCAUUAGCUAGUUGGUAAGGUAACGGCUUACCAAGGCAACGAUGCGUAGCCGACCUGAGAGGGUGAUCGGCCACACUGGAACUGAGACACGGUCCAGACUCCUACGGGAGGCAGCAGUAGGGAAUCUUCCGCAAUGGGCGAAAGCCUGACGGAGCAACGCCGCGUGAGUGAUGAAGGUCUUCAGAUCGUAAAACUCUGUUAUUAGGGAAGGACAAAUGUGUAAGUAACUAUGCACGUCUUGACGGUACCUAAUCAGAAAGCCACGGCUAACUACGUG